Molecule: long non-coding RNA, 644 nt
Organism: Beta vulgaris subsp. vulgaris (sugar beet)
Lineage: Eukaryota; Viridiplantae; Streptophyta; Magnoliopsida; Caryophyllales; Amaranthaceae
Exons: 2
Source: RefSeq, a predicted model, not a curated record
AUAUAUAUAUAUAUAUUCAAAAAUUCUUAAUGAAAUUAUAGUAUAUAAAAUUUUGAGUUCUAAAAAAAAUAAAAAAAAAAUCCAAAGAAAGUAUCACUUUCUCUCUCCUGGUCCCGCUGUUAUUAUAACCACCCCCCUCACAAUCCGCUUCUCCCUCAUUCUCACUCACCCUUCUUCAUCUUCUCCAUCUCUCUUUCUUUCUCUCUCCUCCCCCUUGAAGAUAGCCGAUUUUUUUGGGGGUAAAAAUUCUCCAAACAACAUAAAAAUCAAAACUUUAAAGCUUUUAACUAAGGAAGCAUAUGAGUUGAGGGGAAUGUUGGCUGGCUCGAGGACUUGUUUGGAUGUAGAUCUAUUUCACUUCUUAUUACGUCGUCGGACCAGGCUUCAUUCCCCCCAAUUUUCUCUGUUUCCCAAACACAUCCUUUCUUUUACUGGAUAAUACUAAGGUUACGAGAAUCAGUGCGUUGCAUUUAAUACGCUUCGUUUAUUUCUACAUUUGACCGACUUUCUCUGGGUUUCAACUGCCUCGUUACUUAAUAAUCAGACAUUGAAAUUCUAAUUUAUUUAGUCUUAUUUUCUUCCUUUGUUUCUUCAAUCAUAUCGAACUAGUACUAUCAAUAUUAAUAUUAGUAGGGUUUUAUUGA